GCUUUUACCAAGAUGGCCUCAGCUCCGGCCAGCUAUGGCAGCACUACCACUAAACCAAUGGGUCUUUUAUCACGAGUCAUGAAUACAGGAUCACAGUUUGUGAUGGAAGGAGUGAAGAACCUGGUUUUGAAACAGCAAGGGAAACAAGGCAAACACAUUUUAUAUGGCUGCAGUGAGCUUUUUAAUGCUACACAGUUCAUAAAACAGUUGUCACAACUUGGACAAAAGUAACACAGAAGAACCUUACUAUGAUAAUCUACUUGGAAUGUGGAUAAAUGUAAAAAGAAGAAAAGUUAGAAGAGCAAUAUGUUUCCUUCUCUGUAACAGUGUCCUAACAGUGAAAAUCAGAGUUAUUUGUUAAUUUUUAAGGAAAUUAUAUACUUAAUAUGUAUUGAUUAAAAGAAACAUUUCAGAAA
Molecule: long non-coding RNA, 416 nt
Filed under: Homo sapiens (human)
Lineage: Eukaryota; Metazoa; Chordata; Mammalia; Primates; Hominidae
Description: HSALNT0209119
Source: RNAcentral